ACAGCUCAAAUUUGAAAUCUGGCCUCUUUGGGGUCCGAGUUGUAAUUUGUAGAGGAUGUUUCGGGUACCGCCUCGGUUUAAAUUUCUUGGAACAGAAUGUCAGAGAGGGUGAGAAUCCCGUCUUGGACCGGCGGUAGGGCCCAUGUGAAACUCCUUCGACGAGUCGAGUUGUUUGGGAAUGCAGCUCAAAAUGGGUGGUAAAUUUCAUCUAAAGCUAAAUAUUGGCCAGAGACCGAUA
RNAcentral lists this ribosomal RNA (238 nucleotides) under Herpotrichiellaceae sp. RNAcentral describes it as "partial large subunit ribosomal RNA". It matches the Rfam family "Eukaryotic large subunit ribosomal RNA", at positions 104 to 339 of the family's 3401-position model. Lineage: Eukaryota; Fungi; Ascomycota; Eurotiomycetes; Chaetothyriales; Herpotrichiellaceae. The record is from RNAcentral.